CUGGACCGGUUUUCCUCCAACGAGCCAGGUCCUUGUCAGCUGUGACAGAUAUUUAGCGACCCCUAGAAACAACGCUGCGGAAAGCUCAGGAAUAGAGCGUCGGGGCAGAAGCGGGAAAAGCUUAGCCUCUCUGCUGGGCCACCAGUGCAAGCCAGUGACCGGCCCUGGGCUUCUGGCUGAAGGAACAGUAACUGCCAUCCUGGCUUAAGCCGCUGGCCGCUGAGCUGUCGCAAUUGCUGCCAAAGGCAUCGUAACUGAAGCAAUCACCAAAGGUCAUUUUUCUUGCUCUCCCCUCCUCCCCCAAGGGACUCUCUUCCUUUUAGUAGUACACCCAUCGCCCCUCAGACGCCCAAGCCAGGACCCCUGGAUCAGCUUCUGUGUCUCAGGGUCCCAUAGGCAGGGGAGCCAAAAACUGAAAACUCUCCACCCACGUGAGGUGAAGCGGCCAGCCCAGCACGGAUCUCUAGGAAGAACCUUCCAGACAAAGGCAUAGCAGGUGCCAAGGCCCUGGCACCUGCCACGUGAGGCCCCGGGAGGCCACGGGUAGAGACUUCCGGUUUUAUUCAAGUGGCUGCCAAAACCCUCCCUGUCCACCCACAGGCUUGUGGCGAUGGGGCACACGCCAGCUGCCGAGGGCCAGAAGUGCCUGGAGCAAUGUGUCAGAGUUCAAGCUCCCCACCUCCUCUCCAGCCCCAAGGACAAAGGGCAAGACAGUUAUCCUGAUCAUCGUCUUCUGUCUCUAACCUUGACCUCGAAGUUCUGUGAAAGCAGGGGUAGGUGCCUCGUGAAUGUACUCUCCCUGCAGCCCACUGGUACCUACCACCAUGGGCUCAGCAGACACUCAGAGGAGGCGGCGCCUCACACCCUGCCUGCGUCUGGCUUCCUUCUCCUCUCUUUCUGCAGAAGACAGGCUUCCGGAGAAAAGGAUCAUGAAAAAUAAGGGGUCUCCUGGGUGUUCAUCCAACCCAUAUGGUGAAGAAAAGGGCUAGAGGGCGUGAUAAGAUGCAAAGAAACCUCAUUUUCGCUCUCAUACACACUUCCCUGUUUCGUGCUGUGCCCGCCCCACCCCAUGCAAUGCCCAUAGUGAAAGGCCUCUGGAAUGCUGCUCCUCCUCGGGAAACCAACCUCCCCCCCAAAAGGACGAAGCCAGAGGCAGCAUGACCCCGCAGAGCAUGACUGACUCCUCCAUCCUCAGGACUAGAAAGUUAUUGGAAGCGCCCUGAAGGCACAGAGGCUCGGAGAAAUCUAUGAAAUUCAAAACUCCACCAGGCAGGCCGCAGGGGCAGGACCCCCGCGUCUACAGAUAACAUCUGAGCAAACUCAAGCCUAGAGUCCUGUGUCCACUGCUGUCACGUGACUGCAGUCCCUCCUUCUUUGCAAUCCAGGGAAAGCUCAAAGUCCUAACCCCUCCCAGCUGGUGCCCUAACCCCUCAGGGCUGGUGCAUUUCUCUGGAGCCUAGCCU
Molecule: long non-coding RNA, 1463 nt
Organism: Artibeus jamaicensis (Jamaican fruit-eating bat)
Lineage: Eukaryota; Metazoa; Chordata; Mammalia; Chiroptera; Phyllostomidae
Exons: 3
Source: RefSeq, a predicted model, not a curated record